CCUACGGGAGGCAGCAGUGAGGAAUAUUGGUCAAUGGGCGGGAGCCUGAACCAGCCAAGUCGCGUGAGGGAAGACGGUCCUAUGGAUUGUAAACCUCUUUAGUCGGGGAGCAAUGCCGGGCACGCGUGCCCGGAUGGAUAGUCCCCGCAGAAUAAGCAUCGGCUAACUCCGUGCCAGCAGCCGCGGUAAUACGGAAGGUCCGGGCGUUAUCCGGAUUUAGUGGGUUUAAAGGGAGCGUAGGCCGCAUGUCAAGCGAGCUGUGAAAUGUCCGGGCUCAACCCGGGCCUUGCAGCGCGAACUGGCGGGCUGGAGUACGCGGAAGGCAGGCGGAAUUCGUCGUGUAGCGGUGAAAUGCUUAGAUAUGACGAAGAACCCCGAUUGCGAAGGCAGCUUGCUGCAGCGGAACUGACGCUGAUGCUCGAAAGCGCGGGUAUCGAACAGGAUUAGAUACCCCUGUAGUC
This 461-nucleotide ribosomal RNA is filed under the name uncultured bacterium. Its description in RNAcentral is "partial 16S ribosomal RNA". It matches the Rfam family "Bacterial small subunit ribosomal RNA", at positions 338 to 795 of the family's 1533-position model. The record is from RNAcentral.